GGAUUAGAUACCCUGGUAGUCCAUGCUGUAAACGAUGUGUGCUAGACGUUGUAAAUUUAUUUUCAGUGUCGCAGCAAAAGCGUUAAGCACACCGCCUGGGGAGUACGACCGCAAGGUUAAAACUCAAAUGAAUUGACGGGGACCCGCACAAGCAGUGGAGCAUGUGGUUUAAUUCGAAGAUACGCGCAGAACCUUACCAACACUUGACAUGUUCGUCGCGACUUUAAGAGAUUAAAGUUUUCGGUUCGGCCGGACGAAACACAGGUGCUGCAUGGCUGUCGUCAGCUCGUGCCG
Molecule: ribosomal RNA, 294 nt
Filed under: uncultured bacterium
Lineage: Bacteria
Description: partial 16S ribosomal RNA
Rfam family: Bacterial small subunit ribosomal RNA
Source: RNAcentral